GUCCCUGUAGCUCAACGGAUCGAGCGCUUCCCUCCGAAGGAAGAGGUUGGAGGUUCAAUUCCUCCCAGGGACA
Molecule: transfer RNA, 73 nt
Filed under: bacterium
Lineage: Bacteria
Description: tRNA-Arg
Rfam family: tRNA
About the family: Transfer RNA (tRNA) molecules are approximately 80 nucleotides in length. Their secondary structure includes four short double-helical elements and three loops (D, anti-codon, and T loops). Further hydrogen bonds mediate the characteristic L-shaped molecular structure. tRNAs have two regions of fundamental functional importance: the anti-codon, which is responsible for specific mRNA codon recognition, and the 3' end, to which the tRNAs corresponding amino acid is attached (by aminoacyl-tRNA synthetases). tRNAs cope with the degeneracy of the genetic code in two manners: having more than one tRNA (with a specific anti-codon) for a particular amino acid; and 'wobble' base-pairing, i.e. permitting non-standard base-pairing at the 3rd anti-codon position.
Source: RNAcentral